CGGGGUGCAGCAGGCGCGAAACCUUUACAAUGCUGGCAACAGCGAUAGGGGGACCUCGAGUGCCAGGUUACAAAUCUGGCUGUCGUUGUGUCUAAAAAACACGAUAUAGCAAGGGCCGGGCAAGACCGGUGCCAGCCGCCGCGGUAACACCGGCGGCUCGAGUGGUAACCGUUAUUAUUGGGUUUAAAGGGUCUAUAGCCGGCCUGGUUAGUCCUUUGGGAAAUCCGGCAGCUCAACUGUCGGGCUUUCAGAGGAUACUGCCAGGCUCGAGACCGGGAGAGGUAAGAGGUACUUCAGGGGUAGGGGUGAAAUCUUGUAAUCCUUGAAGGACCACCAGUGGCGAAGGCGUCUUACCAGAACGGAUCUGACGGCAAGGGACGAAAGCUAGGGGCACGAACCGGAUUAGAUACCCGGGUAGUCCUAGCCGUAAACGAUACUCGCUAGGUGUCGGCCACGGUGCGACCGUGGUCGGUGCCGUAGGGAAACCGUGAAGCGAGCCACCUGGGAAGUACGGCCGCAAGGCUGAAACUUAAAGGAAUCGGCGGGGGAGCACAAGGGCGAAUCGC
This 566-nucleotide ribosomal RNA is filed under the name uncultured archaeon. Its description in RNAcentral is "bacterial SSU rRNA". It matches the Rfam family "Archaeal small subunit ribosomal RNA", at positions 326 to 896 of the family's 1478-position model. The record is from RNAcentral.